RNAcentral lists this ribosomal RNA (306 nucleotides) under Vibrio diabolicus. Its description in RNAcentral is "bacterial SSU rRNA". It matches the Rfam family "Bacterial small subunit ribosomal RNA", at positions 1131 to 1436 of the family's 1533-position model. Lineage: Bacteria; Pseudomonadati; Pseudomonadota; Gammaproteobacteria; Vibrionales; Vibrionaceae. The record is from RNAcentral.
UCGGGAACUCCAGGGAGACUGCCGGUGAUAAACCGGAGGAAGGUGGGGACGACGUCAAGUCAUCAUGGCCCUUACGAGUAGGGCUACACACGUGCUACAAUGGCGCAUACAGAGGGCGGCCAACUUGCGAAAGUGAGCGAAUCCCAAAAAGUGCGUCGUAGUCCGGAUUGGAGUCUGCAACUCGACUCCAUGAAGUCGGAAUCGCUAGUAAUCGUGGAUCAGAAUGCCACGGUGAAUACGUUCCCGGGCCUUGUACACACCGCCCGUCACACCAUGGGAGUGGGCUGCAAAAGAAGUAGGUAGUUA